This 404-nucleotide ribosomal RNA is filed under the name Actinomycetes bacterium. Its description in RNAcentral is "Actinobacteria bacterium partial 16S ribosomal RNA". It matches the Rfam family "Bacterial small subunit ribosomal RNA", at positions 355 to 776 of the family's 1533-position model. The record is from RNAcentral. Lineage: Bacteria; Bacillati; Actinomycetota; Actinomycetes.
UGGGGAAUAUUGGACAAUGGGCGCAAGCCUGAUCCAGCCAUGCCGCGUGAGUGAUGAAGGCCCUCGGGUUGUAAAGCUCUUUCACCGGUGAAGAUAAUGACGGUAACCGGAGAAGAAGCCCCGGCUAACUUCGUGCCAGCAGCCGCGGUAAUACGAAGGGGGCUAGCGUUGUUCGGAUUUACUGGGCGUAAAGCGCACGUAGGCGGACUAUUAAGUCAGGGGUGAAAUCCCGGGGCUCAACCCCGGAACUGCCUUUGAUACUGGUAGUCUUGAGUGCGAGAGAGGUGAGUGGAAUUCCGAGUGUAGAGGUGAAAUUCGUAGAUAUUCGGAGGAACACCAGUGGCGAAGGCGGCUCACUGGCUCGAUACUGACGCUGAGGUGCGAAAGCGUGGGGAGCAAACAGG